UACGAAGGGGGCUAGCGUUGCUCGGGAAUCACUGGGCGUAAAGGGUGCGUAGGCGGGUCUUUAAGUCAGGGGUGAAAUCCUGGAGCUCAACUCCAGAACUGCCUUUGAUACUGAGGAUCUUGAGUUCGGGAGAGGUGAGUGGAACUGCGAGUGUAGAGGUGAAAUUCGUAGAUAUUCGCAAGAACACCAGUGGCGAAGGCGGCUCACUGGCCCGGUACUGGACGCUGAGGUGGCGAAAGCGUGGGGAGCAAACAGG
Molecule: ribosomal RNA, 256 nt
Filed under: uncultured bacterium
Lineage: Bacteria
Description: partial 16S ribosomal RNA
Rfam family: Bacterial small subunit ribosomal RNA
Source: RNAcentral